UUGUGCGACAUAUACUUCUCCAAGAAAUCUUAGAGAACUGAGUCCAUGACAAAGGGAGAAGAUUCAGUUGUUCUAAUAUCCAUAUAACCUAUCUACUAAUAAUGAGCAGAUAAUUCAUCUAAAAUGUGGUGCAAUCCAUACCACAAGACUCAAUAAGGCCCAAACCACAAAUCCUAUCCUUGCAAAAAGUUAGGAACUCAUGUGCAUUCUCUGUAGGAGAACCAUUAAAUUUCAACAGAGCU
Molecule: long non-coding RNA, 242 nt
Filed under: Capsicum annuum
Lineage: Eukaryota; Viridiplantae; Streptophyta; Magnoliopsida; Solanales; Solanaceae
Description: long non-coding RNA (CANN_LNC015939)
Source: RNAcentral